AGUGAACGCUGGCGGUAGGCCUAACACAUGCAAGUCGAACGGCAGCACAGUAAGAGCUUGCUCUUACGGGUGGCGAGUGGCGGACGGGUGAGGAAUACAUCGGAAUCUACUUUUUCGUGGGGGAUAACGUAGGGAAACUUACGCUAAUACCGCAUACGACCUACGGGUGAAAGCAGGGGAUCUUCGGACCUUGCGCGAUUGAAUGAGCCGAUGUCGGAUUAGCUAGUUGGCGGGGUAAAGGCCCACCAAGGCGACGAUCCGUAGCUGAUCUGAGAGGAUGAUCAGCCACACUGGAACUGAGACACGGUCCAGACUCCUACGGGAGGCAGCAGUGGGGAAUAUUGGACAAUGGGCGCAAGCCUGAUCCAGCCAUACCGCGUGAGUGAAGAAGGCCUUCGGAUUGUAAAGCCCUUUUGUUGGGAAAGAAAAGCAGCAGGUUAAUACCCCGCUGUUCUGACGGUACCCAAAGAAUAAGCACCGGCUAACUUCGUG
RNAcentral lists this ribosomal RNA (492 nucleotides) under uncultured bacterium. Its description in RNAcentral is "partial 16S ribosomal RNA". It matches the Rfam family "Bacterial small subunit ribosomal RNA", at positions 29 to 507 of the family's 1533-position model. The record is from RNAcentral.